Molecule: ribosomal RNA, 114 nt
Filed under: Diaphorina citri (Asian citrus psyllid)
Lineage: Eukaryota; Metazoa; Arthropoda; Insecta; Hemiptera; Psyllidae
Source: RNAcentral
GCCAGCAGCUAUAACACGUUGAACGAACCAGUUUCCGACUGAACACUGAGGUUAAGUAACGUAUUGAGCGGUUGGAAUCGAUAUGACUAUCUGGGACAGCACGCUCUGCUGGCC